This 342-nucleotide ribosomal RNA is filed under the name Triticum aestivum (bread wheat). RNAcentral's name for it is "partial small subunit ribosomal RNA". The record is from RNAcentral. Lineage: Eukaryota; Viridiplantae; Streptophyta; Magnoliopsida; Poales; Poaceae.
CCGCCGAGAGGCAACUAUGAGCGCGUUCUUGCAAAGGCAUAUGCCGAAGCGGAGUGGUCAGGAAGUACUGUCAGUGAUAAAAGGAUGAAAGAACGACGAGCUGGGAAAAAAAUUGCCCAGCUCGGCGAACAAGCGAACCAAUCGUGCCCCCCGCUCAAGGUGUCAAAAGACAUCGUUGCUAAUGAUCCGAGUAUGGUGCCCGGUUAUAGCAAUCUUGGAGAUUACCUGCCCGACGAUGUACAUUAUGAAAUCAUGGAGGUGGACGAACACAAAUACCAUUACGGGAAGCCUCUCGUCAAAGAUGUCAGAUCUCUAAGCACGAUGAUGCGAAGACUACAUGAU